CCUACGGGAGGCAGCAGUGGGGGAUAUUGCACAAUGGGGGGAACCCUGAUGCAGCGACGCCGCGUGGGUGAAGGAGUGCUUCGGCAUGUAAAGCCCUAUCGGCAGGGAAGAAGCAAGACGGUACCUGACUAAGAAGCCCCGGCUAACUACGUGCGAGCAGCCGCGGUAAUACGGAGGGGGCGAGCGUUAUCCGGAUUCACUGGGUGUAAGGGGAGCGGAGACGGCCAUGCAAGCCAGGGGUGAAAGGCCGGGGCCCAACCCCGGGACUGCCCUUGGAACUGGAUGGCUGGAGUGCGGGAGGGGCAGGCGGAAUUCCGGGUGUAGCGGUGAAAUGCGUAGAGAUCGGGAGGAACGCCGGCGGCGAAGGCAGCCUGCUGGACCGCGACUGACGUUGAGGCUCGAAAGCGUGGGGAGCGAACAGGAUUAGAUACCCUUGUAGUC
This 441-nucleotide ribosomal RNA is filed under the name uncultured bacterium. RNAcentral describes it as "partial 16S ribosomal RNA". It matches the Rfam family "Bacterial small subunit ribosomal RNA", at positions 338 to 795 of the family's 1533-position model. The record is from RNAcentral.